GUUGCUAUGGGUGCCUGGCAGGCAGGUGAGAGAAGCCCUCCUGAGGGGCACUGCCAGCAGCUGGCUGCUCCUACCUGCCAGGCACGCAAGGUUUUCCUCCCACCCUUUGCACGGAGAGCCAAGGAGGAUGGAUGGACACAGACAGGUGAGGCAAAACAGCCUUCAACGUGGUCACUUUGAAUUAUGUUCCGUGUUGGUGUGGCACCUCCAGCCAGCUUCCCUGAUUUCUGGUGCUCAACAGCCUUCUGUCUGCGAAAGCAGAGUGAGAAAGCGCUCCUUCCUUCAGAUGUGAAGAAACAGUUGUGCUCAGUAAUGCACAAAUGUGAAAUGGAAGUAAAUGAGGAAUUAUCCAAAUGGGCAGGACCUACCACCUAUGCUGAAAGGAAACCCUACCAUUAAAUCCUGGAGAUUAAUGCACUAAAAUCCAAUGUAAUGUGACCUAGCAAACAGGACUGAAGCACACAGUGAAGGCGGUUUUCCUUUCCUCGGAGGAUGCAAAGCAACCAUUCCACUGGCGAUGUUUGCUCUGGAGAUAUUCCACCAGCGGAGGAACAGUCAGCACUAACGCACACACAGCAGCCUCCUGUCAGAUACAUCCCUUCAUCCCCAGCGUGGUUAGAGGCUAAUUGAGAGAAAUACAUUCCUACACAAUGGCUAACGAGAACAGA
This is a long non-coding RNA of Cyanistes caeruleus (blue tit), 668 nucleotides long. RefSeq lists it as uncharacterized. The record is from RefSeq and is a predicted model, not a curated record. NCBI's taxonomy places the organism in Eukaryota, Metazoa, Chordata, Aves, Passeriformes, Paridae.